This 278-nucleotide ribosomal RNA is filed under the name uncultured Bifidobacteriales bacterium. RNAcentral's name for it is "partial 16S ribosomal RNA". It matches the Rfam family "Bacterial small subunit ribosomal RNA", at positions 504 to 781 of the family's 1533-position model. The record is from RNAcentral. Lineage: Bacteria; Bacillati; Actinomycetota; Actinomycetes; Bifidobacteriales.
UGUGCCAGCCGCCGCGGUAAUACGUAGGGCGCAAGCGUUAUCCGGAUUUAUUGGGCGUAAAGGGCUCGUAGGCGGCUCGUCGCGUCCGGUGUGAAAGUCCAUCGCUUAACGGUGGAUCUGCGCCGGGUACGGGCGGGCUGGAGCGCGGUAGGGGAGACUGGAAUUCCCGGUGUAACGGUGGAAUGUGUAGAUAUCGGGAAGAACACCGAUGGCGAAGGCAGGUCUCUGGGCCGUCACUGACGCUGAGGAGCGAAAGCGUGGGGAGCGAACAGGAUUAG